GAUGAAGAACGUAGUGAAAUGCGAUACUUGGUGUGAAUUGCAGAAUCCCGUGAACCAUCGAGUCUUUGAACCCAAGUUGCGCCCGAAGCCACUAGGCCGAGGGCACGCCUGCCUGGGCGUCACACGCCGUUGCCCCCCCAUCUACUCCUUCGGGAUUGCGGGGGGGCGGAUGAUGGCCUCCCGUGCGCCUAGCCGCGCGGUUGGCAUAAAUACCAAGUCCUCGGCGACGCACGCCACGACAAUCGGUGGUUGCGAAACCUCGGUUGCCCGUCGUGUGCGUUCGUCGCGCAUCGAGGGCUCGAAAAAAUGCUCGGCUCCGGCUGGGCUUUCAACGCGACCCCAGGUCAGGCGGGGUUACCCGCUGAAUUUAAGCAUAUCAAUAAGCGGAGGA
This 391-nucleotide unclassified non-coding RNA is filed under the name soil metagenome. RNAcentral's name for it is "partial contains 5.8S ribosomal RNA, internal transcribed spacer 2, and large subunit ribosomal RNA". The stretch from base 1 to 122 matches the Rfam family "5.8S ribosomal RNA", at positions 35 to 154 of the family's 154-position model. The record is from RNAcentral.